CUACGGGCUGCUGCAGUGGGGAAUAUUGCACAAUGGGCGCAAGCCUGAUGCAGCCAUGCCGCGUGUAUGAAGAAGGCCUUCGGGUUGUAAAGUACUUUCAGCGGGGAGGAAGGGAGUAAAGUUAAUACCUUUGCUCAUUGACGUUACCCGCAGAAGAAGCACCGGCUAACUCCGUGCCAGCAGCCGCGGUAAUACGGAGGGUGCAAGCGUUAAUCGGAAUUACUGGGCGUAAAGCGCACGCAGGCGGUUUGUUAAGUCAGAUGUGAAAUCCCCGGGCUCAACCUGGGAACUGCAUCUGAUACUGGCAAGCAUGAGUCUCGUAGAGGGGGGUAGAAUUCCAGGUGUAGCGGUGAAAUGCGUAGAGAUCUGGAGGAAUACCGGUGGCGAAGGCGGCCCCCUGGACGAAGACUGACGCUCAGGUGCGAAAGCGUGGGGAGCAAACAGGAUUAGAUACCCUUUAGUC
RNAcentral lists this ribosomal RNA (463 nucleotides) under uncultured bacterium. RNAcentral describes it as "partial 16S ribosomal RNA". It matches the Rfam family "Bacterial small subunit ribosomal RNA", at positions 339 to 795 of the family's 1533-position model. The record is from RNAcentral.